GAUGAACGCGGCGGCGUGCCUAAUACAUGCAAGUAGAACGCUGAAGGAGGAGCUUGCUCUUCUGGAUGAGUUGCGAACGGGUGAGUAACGCGUAGGUAACCUGCCUGGUAGCGGGGGAUAACUAUUGGAAACGAUAGCUAAUACCGCAUGACAACAGUUAUUGCAUGAUAACUGUUUAAAAGGGGCAACUGCUCCACUACCAGAUGGACCUGCGUUGUAUUAGCUAGUUGGUGAGGUAACGGCUCACCAAGGCGACGAUACAUAGCCGACCUGAGAGGGUGAUCGGCCACACUGGGACUGAGACACGGCCCAGACUCCUACGGGAGGCAGCAGUAGGGAAUCUUCGGCAAUGGACGGAAGUCUGACCGAGCAACGCCGCGUGAGUGAAGAAGGUUUUCGGAUCGUAAAGCUCUGUUGUAAGAGAAGAGCGAGUGUGAGAGUGGAAAGUUCACACUGUGACGGUAUCUUACCAGAAAGGGACGGCUAACUACGUGCCAGCAGCCGCGGUAAUACGUAGGUCCCGAGCGUUAUCCGGAUUUAUUGGGCGUAAAGCGAGCGCAGGCGGUUAGAUAAGUCUGAGGUUAAAGGCUGUGGCUUAACCAUAGUACGCUUUGGAAACUGUUUAACUUGAGUGCGAGAGGGGAGAGUGGAAUUCCAUGUGUAGCGGUGAAAUGCGUAGAUAUAUGGAGGAACACCGGUGGCGAAAGCGGCUCUCUGGCUUGUAACUGACGCUGAGGCUCGAAAGCGUGGGGAGCAAACAGG
This 762-nucleotide ribosomal RNA is filed under the name uncultured Streptococcus sp. Its description in RNAcentral is "bacterial SSU rRNA". It matches the Rfam family "Bacterial small subunit ribosomal RNA", at positions 28 to 776 of the family's 1533-position model. Lineage: Bacteria; Bacillati; Bacillota; Bacilli; Lactobacillales; Streptococcaceae. The record is from RNAcentral.